GAAUAGUACUAGGGGUGCCGUAAAUGGUCGGCUGAGAUUAAGACACAGGUAGUCUUUGACCCUUUAACCUGAUCUGGAUAAUGCCAGCGUAGGAAAGUGAACGGUAGAAUAC
RNAcentral lists this non-coding RNA (112 nucleotides) under Bacillus sp. (in: firmicutes). Its description in RNAcentral is "Bacillus sp. TPP sequence". It matches the Rfam family "TPP riboswitch aptamer (THI element)". Rfam says of the family: Vitamin B(1) in its active form thiamin pyrophosphate (TPP) is an essential coenzyme that is synthesised by coupling of pyrimidine and thiazole moieties in bacteria. Lineage: Bacteria; Bacillati; Bacillota; Bacilli; Caryophanales; Bacillaceae. The record is from RNAcentral.